UUGUAUUAGAAAUUGUUGAAAAUAGUUUAUGUACACUUUGGUAAUAAAUCGUUAGCACAUCAAGAAUAUGUGUAUGUUUAUGUUUAUUGCGAAAGCAUUACGAAGCUUUCACAAGUCGCUAUAAAAAUUUUUUCAAGAUAAUAAAUAUAGUUAAAAAGUUAAAAGUUAAUAGCGUUUCAUUUAACUUAUAUAUUAGUUAAUUUUUAAUUUUAACUAUAUUAUAUUCAACCUUGUUCAUAUUUCUACGCCAACGGCGUACUAUUCAUCGCAGUUGCAUUAUUUUCCACAGUUACAAUAAAAUUAUAGAUGUACAUAUAAUUAGACAUUGGAAAGAGCUUGUAAACGAAGAUUAUUGCUCAUGGAAAUUAAUCUUUGAUUUUUCUCUAUCAUUUAUUUUUUGAAGAAAUUUAUUCGAAAAUUGAAAUAAUAAAUAACAAUAAUUAAGUAAUAUAAAAAGUGACAAUAAGUAAGAUCAACAGGUAAAUAAUAAAUAGACAAAGAAAGAUCUUAUAUAAUCGAAACUGAAUUUUAUUGUCCAAUAAUAUAGAAAUUUAUAUACAGAAUUUAAUUUGAUAUAUUUUUCCAAUUCUACAAAUCGCGCACACUGGUAUAAUUAUAAUAUAAAUAUUUAAAAAACAUAGAUCUAAAAACUACAGCUGGAAUAAUAUCGCAAAUAUUAUCAUAAAUAUAUAUAAAUUGAAGUAACCAAAUUUUACGAGGGACAUUACGCGCUGAUUCUGUAACAUCCUGUAUACAUUAACUUGAAAGAAAGAGAGGUAGAGAGUAGGAGAGAAAGAGACGGGGAGAAGAGAACCAGCGAAAGUACGGCCGAAACGAAGAGGCCUACACGGGCCGCACGCGCGACAGUUCGCGGCAGCCAUCAGCGGUUAUGGACUGACCAUUGGUCGCUCUCGCGGUGUUGCGGGCGGCUCUGUUUCUUUUCCUUUUCCUCUUCCCCUUAUUUUAAGUUUCAUCCCGCAGGAGUGGUCUCACCCCGCCGGAUUUCCCCGGGGUUCUCGUUUAUGCUGAUUCGGUCACGAUUCGCGACGCGAUAUGGCCGCGUACGAUCUUCCGCGCUCGUCGCCGUCGCUAUUGCUGAUAAUUACGCUGUUCGUCGCAGCGCUAACCUCGUCUGUCAACGCUACAACAGCUGGCACAUCCUCGUCGUCCAGUCGCGUGGAUCCUCCAACCGUGUCGCCGUCACCGACGGUCGAGCCCGCUGGUGCAGCGGGUGACAAGAAAACAUUGCGGUAUUCAAGUGUGGCGGAAGGAGGACCUAUAUUAACAUCUCAACAUGGAAGCAUUGAAGUUACAACUGAAUCUAAUAAGUUCGAAGAAACGGAAGCAAGGGGGAAUACACCUAAGGAGAGAUAUGCCAGUUCUUCUGUGGUUGGAAGAAAGGGAGUUAAAGAGAAAAUAAAAGCAAGGAAAGGAGCCCCAGAAAUGACACCAAUGAAAAAUAUUGAUCAGGAUAUGGAUCCAGAGAAGGAAAACGUAUUAUUUAAUCAAACCACAUUUGAAGAUAAAAAACCCAUAAUAGAAAGUACUUCUGUGAUCAAUAAAACAGUUCAUAUUAAAUCUGAAAUUUCCAACAUUAGUAUUUCGAAAUUAAAUGCCACUAAUCCACGCUCCAAUGAUAGCUUAAAUAAUGGUAUAAAUUCUAGUUACUCGAAUACAAGUUCGAUAUCAAUAAAUAGAACCACAUCUCAUUCAGAGAUUAUGAACAAUACGGCGUCAAAAGCAUCCUUGCAUACUGAAAAACAUAUACCAAAACCUAAACCAACGGUAACAACUGUUGAUGGGCCAGAAAUUAACGAAUCUAUACCGCUUUCACGAAAGAAGAAUCCUCCAUUAGGCAUGCCAAGAAAAAUCGAUUACAUUGUGCCGGUCAUUAUAACAAUUGUUGCUUUACCGAUAUUGGGUGUUGCAAUUUUUGUAUUGUAUAGGCGCGGUCGAGAUUGCUGGGAGAAGAGGCACUAUCGAAGAAUGGAUUUUCUCAUCGAUGGAAUGUACAAUGACUGAGAGAACUGCUUGGGGAAAAAGUCUGUUCCAUGAGAUUAUAUAGACAUUAUGCAAGUGUCAAUCAAUUAUUAAUUUCCGUGUUCUUCCAUAUUCUUCCAUUUGCAAACGCAAAUUUGUAUAUGUUUUCUUGAAACAAUCAGAUAUGAAGAAAACAAAUUUUUGUAUAAAUGUUAUAUUUCGAGGCAAUCUUUCUUUUAUAUGUGAAUGUAUGUAUCGCAUUUGAUACCAUCUCUUACAUUAGAAAGUAUAAAAGAGAUUUAUCGAAAACCCAAUUGUCAAAUCCGACAAUAACAAUUGAAUUUUUGCAUAGCUAGUACUGUGUCUUCGAUUCAACGGAAUUAUAUUGUGCUUUGGAAGUGUUCCCUUAGCGAAUGGUAUACGCAUGAUUUUUUUUCGCAUGCAAGAACUAUAGUUUGUAAGAAUAGUUUAACAUAAGAAAUGCGAUAGUGUACGCAAAUUUUACCAAAGAGUACUCGAUUUAUACAUUAUAAGUUUGUUAGAUACAUUUUUUGUUUGUAUUGUAUCUAUAAAGUUAUAUCUUUUUGCAGGAUAAUUUUACAAAUGUUCAAUCUAUUUAGAUUCACUUAGUGAGGAUACUUUAUAUAAUUGCCAUAUACACAGGAUAUCAGAGCAAACACUGUGAAAUAUCUUCUCACUCUGUAAAUAUGACAUAAUGAAGUGUAAAAUUAUUCAAUUUGUGUAAGACCUUUUGAGAUUGCGAUUUUUAAAAGCAAAAUAUUGCGUUUUAGACAUUUAAAAGUCUAUAUUUUCUCAAAUAUAUGUGAGAAAAAGCAAUAAUAAUUAUUAUUUUUGUACUAUGUAAGAGAAAAAAUAUUUACAUUGUUACAAAAAAUAUAUAUAUUUGCAAAUCAUACGAAUUGUUACAUUAUUUCACGCAUCUAUUAAAAUAAUGUACGUCGUCAUAAAAAUUUUACAUUAAUUAUGAGAUAAAGAAAAAGAAAAUAAAAAAAAUUAUAUUUG
RNA transcript from Monomorium pharaonis (pharaoh ant), 3003 nucleotides. RefSeq lists it as uncharacterized. The record is from RefSeq and is a predicted model, not a curated record. The transcript has 3 exons. Lineage: Eukaryota; Metazoa; Arthropoda; Insecta; Hymenoptera; Formicidae.